UAGCCGUGUUUCGAGUUCCUCCGGAACACCCGGGAUUUUUCGUAUUUAGCCACGCCGGUCACGUGAUAUGAGCAAAAUGUUCCACAGGGGUACUUCCGGUUAAUUUUGUUUACACUGGUAACAAAAUUGUUUUUGACAAAAUAUAGAUUUUGCGGCACAAACUGUCGCAAAUCAGAUAAAGGAUAGCAAGGGAUAUAUAUUUACUUGGGAAGAUGUCAAAGUUUGCCUUUUCCCAAACCCGGGAAAAGCGUUCACGCAGAGGAAACGGUGGCGUCAUUUGUGUAGAAAACCACGAGCAGCCGAAAUUGAGUGCGAAUAUUACAUUCCGUGAAAGCUGAACCAACAAAGAAACAUCAUUGUUCUAGCCAGUUUCCUUAUAUUAACUUUUAGGAAAACCAAGAGGUUGAUAACAAUGGCUGAUCUGCAUAUAAUGACUGCUAGUUAUUGGCUGGUAUGCAGUGAAAGGGAGCUAAAAAGGAGUAAAAAGUUCAUAUCAGCCAGGUGAGAAUUAAUUUCUUUUUUGUGUGUUAUACAUAUGUAAUUCUUUUCUUUUGCUGCUUCAAAUCUUGUGUAUUUGAAAAUUUUCAGUCUAAUAUUUUGGCAAUGUUAUAGGUAGUGUGGCUUAAAUAAACCAGUGUUAAGGAAUAUCCAGUAAUGGCAUGACAUCAUGAGAGUUUGGCAUACCGACAUUCAGAUGAUUAAUGAUGAAACUGAAGACCUCAAGUGAAAGGCAUGGAAAAUGAUCCUGUUCCCAUAUACCUGAAAAAGAGGAGGGAUGCCACAAUAUUGAUAAUAGACUUUUGUCAAUUUGAGAAGCAAAGAUGUAUAAAAAAAAAAAAAAAAAAAAAAAAAAAAAAAAAAAUAAUAAUAAUAAUGCUGAAAUUAUAAUUCAUGUAUUUGUUAAAAAUACUGUUCACUGUACAUACAUGUAUAUUUUUUUUAAACUUAUUUGGAAAUACAUGAAGUAAUUCAUAUUAAAACUGUGAAUGUA
Molecule: long non-coding RNA, 991 nt
Organism: Ostrea edulis (European flat oyster)
Lineage: Eukaryota; Metazoa; Mollusca; Bivalvia; Ostreida; Ostreidae
Exons: 2
Source: RefSeq, a predicted model, not a curated record